ACGGCUCAGUAACACGUGGCUAAUCUGCCCUUAGGACGAGAACAACCCCGGGAAACUGGGGCUAAUUCUCGAUAGGCGAAGAACUCUGGAAUGAGUCUUUACCUAAAUAGUGCAACGUUAUCCUCGUUGCAUCGCCUAAGGAUGAGGCCGCGACCGAUCAGGUUGUUGGCGAGGUAAUGGCUCACCAAGCCUUUUACCGGUGCGGGCCGUGAGAGCGGGAGCCCGGAGAUGGGCACUGAGACAAGGGCCCAGGCCCUACGGGGCGCAGCAGUCGCGAAAACUUUGCAAUAAGCGAAAGCUUGACAGGGCUAUCCCGAGUGCCAUCCGCUGAGGAAGGCUUUUACCCAGUCUAGAACGCUGGGGGAAUAAGGAGAGGGCAAGUCUGGUGUCAGCCGCCGCGGUAAUACCAGCUCUCCGAGUGGUGUGGAUGUUUAUUGGGCCUAAAGCAUCCGUAGCUGGCUAGGUCAGUCCCUUGUUAAAUCCACCGAAUUAAUCGUUGGAUUGCGGGGGAUACUGCUUGGCUAGGGGACGAGAGAGGCAGACGGUAUUUUCGGGGUAGGGGUGAAAUCCUAUAAUCCCGGGAAGACCACCAGUGGCGAAGGCUGUCUGCUAGAACGCGCCCGACGGUGAGGGAUGAAAGCUGGGGGAGCGAACCGGAUUAGAUACCCGGGUAGUCCCAGCUGUAAACGAUGCAGACUAGGUGUUUGGACGGCCACGUGCCGUUCUAGUGCCGCAGGGAAGCUGUUAAGUCUGCCGCCUGGGGAGUACGAUCGCAAGAUUGAAACUUAAAGGAAUUGGCGGGGGAGCAC
RNAcentral lists this ribosomal RNA (809 nucleotides) under uncultured archaeon. RNAcentral describes it as "bacterial SSU rRNA". It matches the Rfam family "Archaeal small subunit ribosomal RNA", at positions 85 to 879 of the family's 1478-position model. The record is from RNAcentral.